This 725-nucleotide ribosomal RNA is filed under the name uncultured bacterium. RNAcentral describes it as "bacterial SSU rRNA". It matches the Rfam family "Bacterial small subunit ribosomal RNA", at positions 56 to 799 of the family's 1533-position model. The record is from RNAcentral.
UGUAAGUCGAACGAGGUCUCGCCUUCGGGCGAAUCGCCUAGUGGCAGACGGCUGAGUAACACGUGGGUAACCUGCCCUCGAGUCUGGGAUAACUGCAAGAAAUCGCAGCUAAUACCGGAUACACUCCUUCGGCGAGAGUCGGGGGAGGAAAGAUUUAUCGCUCUUGGAUGGGCCUGCGUCCUAUCAGGUAGUUGGUGUGGUAACGGCACACCAAGCCAAAAACGGGUAGCUGGUGUGAGAGCAUGACCAGCCAGAGGGGGACUGAGACACGGCCCCCACUCCUCCGGGAGGCAGCAGCAAGGAAUCGUGCACAAUGGGCGAAAGCCUGAUGCCGCGACGCCGCGUGAGGGAUGACGGCUUUCGAGUUGUAAACCUCUUUUCUCAGGGAAGAGUAAGGACGUUACCUGAGGAAUAAGCCACGGCUAACUACGUGCCAGCAGCAGCGGUAACACGUAGGUGGCAAGCGUUGUCCGGAAUUACUGGGCGUAAAGGGUCCGUAGGCGGUCGGAUAAGUCUCCUGUGAAAUCUCCACGCUCAACGUGGAACAGUCGGGAGAUACUGUCGGACUAGAGACUGUCAGAGGCAGGUGGAAUUCCCGGAGUAGUGGUGAAAUACGUAGAUAUCGGGAGGAACACCAGUGGCGAAAGCGGCCUGCUGGGGCAGUUCUGACGCUGAGGGACUAAAGCGUGGGGAGCGAACCGGAUUAGAUACCCGGGUAGUCCACG